Molecule: ribosomal RNA, 402 nt
Filed under: uncultured bacterium
Lineage: Bacteria
Description: bacterial SSU rRNA
Rfam family: Bacterial small subunit ribosomal RNA
Source: RNAcentral
UCGGGAAUUUUGGGCAAUGGGCGAAAGCCUGACCCAGCAACGCCGCGUGAGGGAUGAAGUAUUUCGGUAUGUAAACCUCGAAAGAAUGGGAAGAAUAAAUGACGGUACCAUUUAUAAGCUCCGGCUAACUACGUGCCAGCAGCCGCGGUAAUACGUAGGGAGCAAGCGUUGUUCGGAUUUACUGGGCGUAAAGGGCGCGUAGGCGGCGCGGUAAGUCACUUGUGGAAUCUCUGAGCUUAACUCAGAACGGCCAAGUGAUACUGCUGUGCUAGAGUGCGGAAGAGGCAACCGGAAUUCUUGGUGUAGCGGUGAAAUGCGUAGAUAUCAAGAGGAACACCUGAGGCGAAGGCGGGUUGCUGGGCCGACACUGACGCUGAUGCGCGAAAGCCAGGGGAGCAAACG